GGGUCAUUAGCUCAGUUGGUAGAGCACCUGACUCUUAAUCAGGGUGUCGGGGGUUCGAGUCCCUCAUGACCCACCA
This 76-nucleotide transfer RNA is filed under the name Bacillota bacterium. Its description in RNAcentral is "tRNA-Lys". It matches the Rfam family "tRNA". Rfam says of the family: Transfer RNA (tRNA) molecules are approximately 80 nucleotides in length. Their secondary structure includes four short double-helical elements and three loops (D, anti-codon, and T loops). Lineage: Bacteria; Bacillati; Bacillota. The record is from RNAcentral.